GACGAACGCUGGCGGCGUGCUUAACACAUGCAAGUCGAGCGGUAAGGCCCUUUCGGGGGUACACGAGCGGCGAACGGGUGAGUAACACGUGGGUGACCUGCCCUCAGCUCUGGGAUAAGCCUGGGAAACCGGGUCUAAUACCGGAUAUGACUCCAUGACGCAUGUUGUGGGGUGGAAAGCCUUGUGCGGCUGAGGAUGGGCCCGCGGCCUAUCAGCUUGUUGGUGGGGUGAUGGCCUACCAAGGCGACGACGGGUAGCCGGCCUGAGAGGGCGACCGGCCACACUGGGACUGAGACACGGCCCAGACUCCUACGGGAGGCAGCAGUGGGGAAUAUUGGACAAUGGGCGCAAGCCUGAUCCAGCGAUGCCGC
This 371-nucleotide ribosomal RNA is filed under the name uncultured bacterium. Its description in RNAcentral is "bacterial SSU rRNA". It matches the Rfam family "Bacterial small subunit ribosomal RNA", at positions 28 to 400 of the family's 1533-position model. The record is from RNAcentral.